GAUGAACGCUGGCGGCGUGCUUAACACAUGCAAGUCGAACGAUGAACCGGGUGCUUGCACUCGGGGAUUAGUGGCGAACGGGUGAGUAACACGUGAGCAACCUGCCCCUGACUCUGGGAUAAGCGCUGGAAACGGCGUCUAAUACUGGAUAUGUCCCGUCACCGCAUGGUGUGCGGGUGGAAAGAUUUUUCGGUUGGGGAUGGGCUCGCGGCCUAUCAGCUUGUUGGUGAGGUAAUGGCUCACCAAGGCGUCGACGGGUAGCCGGCCUGCGAGGGUGACCGGCCACACUGGGACUGAGACACGGCCCAGACUCCUACGGGAGGCAGCAGUGGGGAAUAUUGCACAAUGGGCGGAAGCCUGAUGCAGCAACGCCGCGUGAGGGAUGACGGGCUUCGGGUUGUAAACCUCUUUUAGCAGGGAAGAAGCGAGAGUGACGGUACCUGCAGAAAAAGCACCGGCUAACUACGUGCCAGCAGCCGCGGUAA
RNAcentral lists this ribosomal RNA (485 nucleotides) under uncultured bacterium. RNAcentral describes it as "partial 16S ribosomal RNA". It matches the Rfam family "Bacterial small subunit ribosomal RNA", at positions 28 to 523 of the family's 1533-position model. The record is from RNAcentral.